AGAGUUUGAUCAUGGCUCAGAACGAACGCUGGCGGCGUGGAUAAGACAUGCAAGUCGAGCGCUGAUUACGGGGUAGCAAUAUUCCGUAGUUGGAGCGGCGCAAGGGUGCGUAACACGUGGGUAAUCUGCCAUGAAGUUUGGGAUAACUCGCUGAAAGGCGAGCUAAUACCGGAUGUGACGAUUGGGAGGCAUCUUCUGAUCUUCAAAGUUGGGGACCGUAAGGCCUGACGCCUCAUGAUGAGCCCGCGGCCUAUCAGCUAGUUGGUGAGGUAACGGCUCACCAAGGCUAAGACGGGUAGCUGGUCUGAGAGGACGACCAGCCACACUGGAACUGAGACACGGUCCAGACACCUACGGGUGGCAGCAGUCGAGAAUUUUUCACAAUGGGGGAAACCCUGAUGGAGCGACGCCGCGUGGGGGAUGAAUGGCUUCGGCCCGUAAACCCCUGUCAUUCGCGAACAAUGCCUGUGGUCUAAUAAAUCACAGGUUGAUAGUAGCGGAAGAGGAAGGGACGGCUAACUCUGUGCCAGCAGCCGCGGUAAUACAGAGGUCCCAAGCGUUGUUCGGAUUCACUGGGCGUAAAGGGUGCGUAGGCGGUCGGGUAAGUCUGAUGUGAAAUCUCGGAGCUCAACUCCGAAACUGCAUUGGAUACUAUUCGGCUUGAGGUCUGGAGGGGGGACUGGAAUUCUCGGUGUAGCAGUGAAAUGCGUAGAUAUCGAGAGGAACACCAGUGGCGAAAGCGAGUCCCUGGACAGGUCCUGACGCUGAGGCACGAAAGCUAGGGGAGCAAACAGGAUUAGAUACCCUGGUAGUCCUAGCCGUAAACGGUGCGUAUUUGCUGUAAAAGGAUCGACCCCUUUUGUGGCGUAGCCACGCGUUAAUACGCCGCCUGGAAGUACGGUCGCAGAUUAAACUCAAAGAAAUUGACGGGGCCUGCACAAGCGGGUGGGAGUAUGUGGCU
RNAcentral lists this ribosomal RNA (961 nucleotides) under uncultured bacterium. RNAcentral's name for it is "bacterial SSU rRNA". It matches the Rfam family "Bacterial small subunit ribosomal RNA", at positions 8 to 946 of the family's 1533-position model. The record is from RNAcentral.